GAAGGGCGGCGCCGGCGGCUGAGCUCCUCCAUGGACUGCUGCAGUUCCAGGGAGAUAGAGCUUCGAAGGCCCAGCUUUUCGAUUCGGAGCCCCUUCUUCUGGCCUCUUGAGCACCGAUCCCGUCAUCGUUCCUCUUCUUAGACCCCCUUGACGUCCUGCUGCUGCGGUCUCCACGCCGUCCCAGUCUUGGCCCGGCCACCGGGUCUCCUCCCUCUGACCCUCUCUCUAAGGUUUUGAAAGGGAGAAGAGAGGUUGAACCAUGGGGAAGGGGGAAGAGGAAGGCAGCCGCUAAGCCGCCCACUAGGAAGCGGAUGGACAAGCUCGAUAUGGUCUUUUCCUGCCCAUUCUGCAAUGAUAGGAGCAGCGUUGAAUGCCGGAUUGAUAUGGAAACCUGAUUGGUGAGGCUAAUUGUGAAAUCUGACAGGAAAGCUUCAGCAGCCAGCACCACUGCAAAUGGUAUGUCCAAAUCAUACAUAAAACUGCAGAUUGUACCUCCUAUAACAUAGACGUAGAUGCCAUAGAUGCCAUACUGAUUGGCUCUCAACUAGAAAAUUAUGCACCGGGCAUCUGAUUUGGUUUUGUUCCUUCUCAACCUAAUGAUUGCAACUCCGGGACAGGGUAUAGCUUAUGUAUACAUUUUGUACAGCCAUGCCCAUUUCAUAUACUCUUGGGGGUUUAAUC
This is a long non-coding RNA of Aegilops tauschii subsp. strangulata, 681 nucleotides long. RefSeq lists it as uncharacterized. The record is from RefSeq and is a predicted model, not a curated record. Lineage: Eukaryota; Viridiplantae; Streptophyta; Magnoliopsida; Poales; Poaceae.